CCUACGGGGGGCAGCAGUGAGGAAUAUUGGUCAAUGGGCGCGAGCCUGAACCAGCCAAGUCGCGUGAGGGAAGACGGUCCUAUGGAUUGUAAACUUCUUUUGUCAAGGGACAAAAUCAGGCUCGAGAGCCUGACCGAGGGUACUUGAAGAAAAAGCAUCGGCUAACUCCGUGCCAGCAGCCGCGGUAAUACGGAGGAUGCGAGCGUUAACCGGAUUUCUUGGGUUUAAAGGGUGCGUAGGCGGACUGUUAAGUCAGCGGUAAAGGCCCGGGGCUCAACCCCGGCGAGCCGUUGAAACUGGCUGUCUUGAGAUGUCGAGAGGUAUGCGGAAUGCGCAGUGUAGCGGUGAAAUGCUUAGAUAUUGCGCAGAACUCCGAUUGCGAAGGCAGCAUACCGGCGGCGAUCUGACGCUGAGGCACGAAAGCGUGGGUAUCGAACAGGAUUAGAUACCCUGGUAGUC
RNAcentral lists this ribosomal RNA (459 nucleotides) under uncultured bacterium. Its description in RNAcentral is "partial 16S ribosomal RNA". It matches the Rfam family "Bacterial small subunit ribosomal RNA", at positions 338 to 795 of the family's 1533-position model. The record is from RNAcentral.